GACGAACGCUGGCGGCGUGCUUAACACAUGCAAGUCGAACGGAAAGGCCCUGCUCUUGUGGCGUGCUCGAGUGCCGAAGGGGUGAGUAACACGCGAGUAACAUGCCCUUGUCUUUCGGAUAACUUCUGGGAACUGGGGCUAAUACCGGAUAGGAGCUCCUGCUGCGUGUUGGGGGUUGGAAAAUUUCGGCGGUUGGGGAUGGACUCGCGGCAUAUCCGCUUGUUGGUGGGGUAGUGGAUUACCCAGGCUUUGACGGGUAGCCGGCCUGAGCGGGUGACCGGCCACACUGGGACUGAGAUACGGCCCAGACUGCUACGGGAGGCAGCAGUGGGGAAUAUUGCACAAUGGGCGGAAGGCUGAUGCAGCAACGCCGCGUGCGGGAUGACGGCCUUCGGGGUGUAAACCGCUUGCGCCUGUGACGAAGCGUGAGUGACGGUAAUGUGUAAAGAAGGACCGGCUAACUACGUG
RNAcentral lists this ribosomal RNA (468 nucleotides) under uncultured bacterium. RNAcentral describes it as "partial 16S ribosomal RNA". It matches the Rfam family "Bacterial small subunit ribosomal RNA", at positions 28 to 507 of the family's 1533-position model. The record is from RNAcentral.